Molecule: ribosomal RNA, 465 nt
Filed under: Vreelandella stevensii
Lineage: Bacteria; Pseudomonadati; Pseudomonadota; Gammaproteobacteria; Oceanospirillales; Halomonadaceae
Description: partial 16S ribosomal RNA
Rfam family: Bacterial small subunit ribosomal RNA
Source: RNAcentral
CCUACGGGUGGCAGCAGUGGGGAAUAUUGGACAAUGGGCGAAAGCCUGAUCCAGCCAUGCCGCGUGUGUGAAGAAGGCCUUCGGGUUGUAAAGCACUUUCAGUGGGGAAGAAAGCCUUGGGGCUAAUACCCUCGAGGAAGGACAUCACCCACAGAAGAAGCACCGGCUAACUCCGUGCCAGCAGCCGCGGUAAUACGGAGGGUGCGAGCGUUAAUCGGAAUUACUGGGCGUAAAGCGCGCGUAGGCGGUCUGAUAAGCCGGUUGUGAAAGCCCCGGGCUCAACCUGGGAACGGCAUCCGGAACUGUCAGGCUAGAGUGCAGGAGAGGAAGGUAGAAUUCCCGGUGUAGCGGUGAAAUGCGUAGAGAUCGGGAGGAAGACCAGUGGCGAAGGCGGCCUUCUGGACUGACACUGACGCUGAGGUGCGAAAGCGUGGGUAGCAAACAGGAUUAGAUACCCGAGUAGUC